AAAACGGCUGUGAACCGGAGGAGUAGGCGGCGACGGUCGCCAGAGAGGGGCGGUCAUCGGCUGGAAGCCGCCCUCGACACGAACCGCCGAAGGUCGCCGGGGAGCCGCAACGGUGAAGCGCAGUAGCCGUUGCCGGGAGCGCCCGUUAUCGCGCCACGAGCGCCGGCAUCUUCUGCCGGAAGCAGGGUGGUACCGCGGAGGCAACGCCUUCGUCCCUGAG
Molecule: non-coding RNA, 220 nt
Filed under: Ardenticatena maritima
Lineage: Bacteria; Bacillati; Chloroflexota; Ardenticatenia; Ardenticatenales; Ardenticatenaceae
Description: T-box sequence
Rfam family: T-box leader
About the family: Uncharged tRNA acts as the effector for transcription antitermination of genes in the T-box leader family. T-boxes are found upstream of many aminoacyl-tRNA synthetase genes and some amino acid biosynthetic genes usually in Gram-positive bacteria. The anticodon of a specific tRNA base pairs to a specifier sequence within the T-box motif, and the NCCA acceptor tail of the tRNA base pairs to a conserved bulge in the T-box antiterminator hairpin.
Source: RNAcentral